This 81-nucleotide transfer RNA is filed under the name Manis pentadactyla (Chinese pangolin). Its description in RNAcentral is "tRNA-Cys". The stretch from base 17 to 81 matches the Rfam family "tRNA". Rfam says of the family: Transfer RNA (tRNA) molecules are approximately 80 nucleotides in length. Their secondary structure includes four short double-helical elements and three loops (D, anti-codon, and T loops). Lineage: Eukaryota; Metazoa; Chordata; Mammalia; Pholidota; Manidae. The record is from RNAcentral.
AGUCCUCUUCUUACCAGGUCCUGAGGUGAUUACAUAUUGAAUUGCAAAUUCAAAGAAGCAGCUUCAAUUCUGCCGGGACUU